Molecule: ribosomal RNA, 217 nt
Filed under: Glomeromycotina sp.
Lineage: Eukaryota; Fungi; Glomeromycota
Description: partial small subunit ribosomal RNA
Rfam family: Eukaryotic small subunit ribosomal RNA (bases 40-217)
Source: RNAcentral
GGGUCAGUAGGUUGGUCGUGCCACCGGUACGUACUGGUCUCACUGAUUCCUCCUUCCUGAAGAACCGUAAUGCCAUUAAUUUGGUGUUGCGGGGAAACAGGACUGUUACUUUGUAAAAAAUUAGAGUGUUUAAAGCAAGCUAACGCUUGAAUACAUUAGCAUGGAAUAAUGAAAUAGGACGAUCGAUCCUAUUUUGUUGGUUUCUAGGAUUGACGUA